This 362-nucleotide transfer-messenger RNA is filed under the name Hyalangium minutum. RNAcentral describes it as "Standard tmRNA". It matches the Rfam family "transfer-messenger RNA". Rfam says of the family: Bacterial tmRNA, also known as 10Sa RNA or SsrA, is named for its dual tRNA and mRNA-like properties. Its role is to liberate the mRNA from a stalled ribosome. The record is from Rfam by way of RNAcentral. Lineage: Bacteria; Pseudomonadati; Myxococcota; Myxococcia; Myxococcales; Archangiaceae.
GGGGGCGACCUGGCUUCGACGGGGGCAUAGAAGCCCGAGACGCGUGCCGAGCUGUCAGUGACUCGUAAAACCGCUGGCAAAGACACAAAAGCCAACGACAACGUUGAGCUCGCGCUGGCUGCCUAACAACAGUACUUAGCGCGCGGUCCUCCUGCUCUCGGCCCGUGGGGUGGGGUAGGACCGUCAUAAUGCGGGCUGGCUGCCGAGGGUGCCUGGGCCCGAGGUGGCGAGAUCUUUCCAGGACCGGCUCGUAGGAUCCCGUCCGUGGGAGCCUGCGGGACGUAGCAAAGCGCGGACUACGCACGUAGGGUCGAAGGGCCGAAGGCUUUCGGACGCGGGUUCGAUUCCCGCCGCCUCCACAG